AAAUUGAAGAGUUUGAUCAUGGCUCAGAUUGAACGCUGGCGGCAGGCCUAACACAUGCAAGUCGAGCGGUAGCACAGAGAGCUUGCUCUCGGGUGACGAGCGGCGGACGGGUGAGUAAUGUCUGGGAAACUGCCUGAUGGAGGGGGAUAACUACUGGAAACGGUAGCUAAUACCGCAUAAUGUCGCAAGACCAAAGUGGGGGACCUUCGGGCCUCAUGCCAUCAGAUGUGCCCAGAUGGGAUUAGCUAGUAGGUGGGGUAACGGCUCACCUAGGCGACGAUCCCUAGCUGGUCUGAGAGGAUGACCAGCCACACUGGAACUGAGACACGGUCCAGACUCCUACGGGAGGAAGCAGUGGGGAAUAUUGCACGAUGGGCGCAAGCCUGAUGCAGCCAUGCCGCGUGUGUGAAGAAGGCCUUCGGGUUGUAAAGCACUUUCAGCGGGGAGGAAGGCG
Molecule: ribosomal RNA, 454 nt
Filed under: Klebsiella pneumoniae
Lineage: Bacteria; Pseudomonadati; Pseudomonadota; Gammaproteobacteria; Enterobacterales; Enterobacteriaceae
Description: bacterial SSU rRNA
Rfam family: Bacterial small subunit ribosomal RNA
Source: RNAcentral